CGGGCUAGCGCCUGUGGCUCCAUGGCUAGGGCGCCCGCCCCAUAUACCGAGGGUGGCAGGUUCAGCCCCAGCUAAACUGCAACAAAAGAAUAGCUGGGCGUUGUGGCCGACGCCUGUAGUCCCAGCUACUCGGGAGGCUGAGGCAAGAGAAUCGCGUAAGCCCAAGAGUUGGAGGGGGAGGCUGAGGCAAGAGAAUCAGUUGGAGGUUGCUGUGAGCUGUGACGCCACAACACCCUACCGCGGGCGACAGAGUGAGACUCUUAAAAAAAAAAAAAAAGGCUGAUAGGGGCCCCCACAGGGUGUUCACACUCUAUCUCCUGUAGGCUCCUGGUAAUUUCGACUAUUUAAUGAAGUCCUUUGUGGGAAAGCAGUUGGAUUUCAAUGAUUUCCUCUCUGGAGCUGGCCUAGGUGAGCCCUAAAUCCAAAGACAAGUGUGCAUAAGAGAGAGAAGAGGAGAAAAUGAAGACACAAAGGGGACGGCCAUGUGAGGACAACAGAGACCAAAAGGAUGCAGCCACAAGCUGAGGAACACCUGAGCUCCCUGAAGCUGAAAAGAAUGAAGAGGAAUUCUCCUCUAGCACCUGGGGAGGAUGUCAGAGCUGCCAGCACCUUGAUUGUGUACUCCUGGCCCCUCCAGAACCGUGAGAGAAUACAUUUUUAUUGUUUUUAAGCCAAGACAUUUGUGAUACUCUAUGAUGACGGCCCUAGGAACCAAUACAGUCUCUGUAAAACAAGGAUUAUCCUGCGUGGCGCUCAAGAGAUAGUUGUGAAGUGAGUGAAUGAAUAGUUCUAAUUUGCAGGGCUGAGCAGGGAUGCAAUAAGAUUGCAAGCAGGAAAAUUCCUUUAUAAAUCAUUGCCAUUCUUUGCCUAGGGCCUGUGAUUACCAUUAGUCUUUGUAGGCCUACACAGGAGCGUGAAUAACUUGAUCGUUGAACUAAGAAAGGAAAGGAGGCCGGCCACAAAAGAAGAGGGAAUGUGGGUAAAGGGAAAGAACUUAACAGAUGGCUAUCAUUUGGGUGGCCU
Molecule: long non-coding RNA, 1023 nt
Organism: Nycticebus coucang (slow loris)
Lineage: Eukaryota; Metazoa; Chordata; Mammalia; Primates; Lorisidae
Exons: 3
Source: RefSeq, a predicted model, not a curated record